Molecule: ribosomal RNA, 497 nt
Filed under: uncultured bacterium
Lineage: Bacteria
Description: partial 16S ribosomal RNA
Rfam family: Bacterial small subunit ribosomal RNA
Source: RNAcentral
GAUGAACGCUGGCGGCGUGCCUAAUACAUGCAAGUCGAGCGAACAGACGAGGAGCUUGCUCCUCUGACGUUAGCGGCGGACGGGUGAGUAACACGUGGAUAACCUACCUAUAAGACUGGGAUAACUUCGGGAAACCGGAGCUAAUACCGGAGAAUAUAUUGAACCGCAUGGUUCAAUAGUGAAAGACGGUUUUGCUGUCACUUAUAGAUGGAUCCGUGCCGCAUUAGCUAGUUGGUAAGGUAACGGCUUACCAAGGCAACGAUGCGUAGCCGACCUGAGAGGGUGAUCGGCCACACUGGAACUGAGACACGGUCCAGACUCCUACGGGAGGCAGCAGUAGGGAAUCUUCCGCAAUGGGCGCAAGCUUGACGGAGCCACGCCGCGUGAGUGAUGAAGGUCUUCGGAUCGUAAAACUCUGUUAUUAGGGAAGAAAAAAUGUGUAAGUAACUACGCACGUCUUGACGGUACCUAAUCAGAAAGCCACGGCUAACUACGUG